Molecule: ribosomal RNA, 224 nt
Filed under: uncultured bacterium
Lineage: Bacteria
Description: partial 16S ribosomal RNA
Rfam family: Bacterial small subunit ribosomal RNA
Source: RNAcentral
GAUCCUGGCUCAGGAUGAACGCUAGCUACAGGCUUAGCACGUGCAAGUCGAGGGGCAGCAUGGUCUUAGCUUGCUAAGGCCGAUGGCGACCGGCGCACGGGUGAGUAACACGUAUCCAACCUGCCGUCUACUCUUGGACAGCCUUCUGAAAGGAAGAUUAAUACAAGAUGGCAUCAUGAGUUCACAUGUUCACAUGAUUAAAGGUAUUCCGGUAGACGAUGGGG